This 226-nucleotide ribosomal RNA is filed under the name uncultured bacterium. RNAcentral describes it as "partial 16S ribosomal RNA". It matches the Rfam family "Bacterial small subunit ribosomal RNA", at positions 107 to 334 of the family's 1533-position model. The record is from RNAcentral.
UGAGUAACACGUAUCCAACCUGCCGUCUACUCUUGGACAGCCUUCUGAAAGGAAGAUUAAUACAAGAUGGCAUCAUGAGUCCACAUGUUCACAUGAUUAAAGGUAUUCCGGUAGACGAUGGGGAUGCGUUCCAUUGAUAGUAGGCGGGGUAACGGCCCACCUAGUCUUCGAUGGAUAGGGGUUCUGAGAGGAAGGUCCCCCACAUUGGAACUGAGACACGGUCCAA